RNAcentral lists this ribosomal RNA (815 nucleotides) under Hiroa stubbingsi. RNAcentral describes it as "SSU rRNA". It matches the Rfam family "Eukaryotic small subunit ribosomal RNA", at positions 944 to 1775 of the family's 1831-position model. Lineage: Eukaryota; Metazoa; Arthropoda; Thecostraca; Balanomorpha; Pyrgomatidae. The record is from RNAcentral.
UGCGAAAGCCAUUGCCAAGAAUGUUUUCAUUAGUCAAGAACGAAAGUUAGAGGUUCGAAGCGAUCAGAUACCGCCCUAGUUCUAACCGUAAACGAUGUCGACCAGCAAUCCGCAACGGUCACUUUACGGACUGUGCGGGCAGCUUCCCCGGGGAAACCAGAGUGUUCGGACUCCGGGGGAAGUAUGGUUGCAAAGCUGAAACUUAAAGGAAUUGACGGAAGGGCACCACCAGGAGUGGAGCUUGCGGCUUAAUUUGACUCAACACGGGACAACUCACCAGGCCCGGACACCGUAAGGAUUGACAGACUGAUAGCUCUCUCUUGAUUCAGUGGGUGGUGGUGCAUGGCCGUUCUUAGUUGGUGGAGUGAUUUGUCUGGUUUAUUCCGAUAACGAACGAGACUCUGGCCUAUUAAACUUGACGCCGUCAGUCUCUUGUGACUGCGGUGCGCUUCUUAGAGGGAUCAUCGGCGUCCCAGCCGAAGGAAAGGGAGCAAUAACAGGUCUGUGAUGCCCUUAGAUGUUCUGGGCUGCACGCGUGUUACACUGAAGUGGUCAGCGCGCCGUUCAACACCCCUCUCCGUGAGGAGCUUGGGCAAACGUUUGAACCCUUUUCGUGAUGGGAAUUGGGGGUUGCAAUUGUCCCCCAUGAACGAGGAAUUCCAAGUAAGCGCAGGUCACUAGCCUGCGUUGAUUAAGUCCCUGCCCUUUGUACACACCGCCCGUCGCUACUACCGAUGGAUGAUUUGGUGAGGUCGCCUAGACUGGCUGCUGGCUUCGGCCGUGCGGCCGGGAAGACGCCCAAACUUGGUCGUCUA